This 431-nucleotide ribosomal RNA is filed under the name uncultured bacterium. RNAcentral's name for it is "partial 16S ribosomal RNA". It matches the Rfam family "Bacterial small subunit ribosomal RNA", at positions 29 to 507 of the family's 1533-position model. The record is from RNAcentral.
AACGAACGCUGGCGGCAUGCCUAACACAUGCAAGUCGAACGAGACCUUCGGGUCUAGUGGCACGGGUGCGUAACGCGUGGGAACCUGCCCUUAGGUUCGGAAUAACUCCCCGAAAGGGGUGCUAAUACCGGAUAAUGUCUUCGGACCAAAGAUUUAUCGCCUUUGGAUGGGCCCGCGUUGGAUUAGCUAGUUGGUAGGGUAAAAGCCUACCAAGGCGACGAUCCAUAGCUGGUCUGAGAGGAUGAUCAGCCACACUGGGACUGAGACACGGCCCAGACUCCUACGGGAGGAAGCAGUGGGGAAUAUUGGACAAUGGGCGAAAGCCUGAUCCAGCAAUGCCGCGUGAGUGAUGAAGGCCUUAGGGUUGUAAAGCUCUUUUACCCGGGAUGAUAAUGACAGUACCGGGAGAAUAAGCGCCGGCUAACUCCGUG